Molecule: long non-coding RNA, 420 nt
Organism: Schistocerca gregaria
Lineage: Eukaryota; Metazoa; Arthropoda; Insecta; Orthoptera; Acrididae
Exons: 3
Source: RefSeq, a predicted model, not a curated record
GUAAAGAGAGAUAAAAAACUCCCUAAAGUUUUCAAGUGUUUGUUCUGUAAUCACGAGAACACAGUUGAGGUAUCAAUAAAUAAAGACACUGGCAUUGGAAGUCUGAUGUGUCGAGUUUGUGAAGUGAAAUGGAGUACGCACGCAUUGAAGGUUCACAGGGAGGUAGACGUUUACUCCGCAUGGGUAGACAAAUGUCAGGAGGUUAAUGACUUGGAUGGCCGGCAUAGCAGUGAUGAGAGCAGUGGAGAAUGAACAUAGAUCAAUGGGAGUGUUUGGUGACAAUAAGGGGCAUGAUAGUUUUAUAUAACGCAGCACGAAAACGAAAAAAUAUUUUUUUGUCAUAGAGGAGAAAGCGGUGCGAUAUGACACAAGCCAAGUGUAUAAAUUGUAUUGUUUCAAUAAAUGAAACAAGAGACAGUA